Molecule: ribosomal RNA, 503 nt
Filed under: uncultured bacterium
Lineage: Bacteria
Description: partial 16S ribosomal RNA
Rfam family: Bacterial small subunit ribosomal RNA
Source: RNAcentral
GAUGAACGCUAGCGACAGGCCUAACACAUGCAAGUCGAGGGGCAGCACAUGCGUAGCAAUACAAUGGUGGCGACCGGCGCACGGGUGAGUAACACGUAUGCAACCUACCUGUAAGAGGGGAAUAACCCGGAGAAAUUCGGACUAACACCGCAUAAUACCGAUUAACUGCAUGGUUGAUCGGUUAAAUAUUUAUAGCUUACAGAUGGGCAUGCGUAACAUUAGAUAGUUGGUGAGGUAACGGCUCACCAAGUCAACGAUGUUUAGGGGUUCUGAGAGGAAGGUCCCCCACACUGGUACUGAGACACGGACCAGACUCCGACGGGAGGCAGCAGUGAGGAAUAUUGGUCAAGGGGCGAGAGCCUGAACCAGCCAAGUCGCGUGAAGGAAGAAGGUUCUAUGGAUUGUAAACUUCUUUUGUAAGGGAAUAAAAAAGCUUACGUGUAGGCUAUUGUAUGUACUUUACGAAUAAGGAUCGGCUAACUCCGUGCCAGCCGCCGCGGUAA